Molecule: non-coding RNA, 101 nt
Organism: Saccoglossus kowalevskii
Lineage: Eukaryota; Metazoa; Hemichordata; Enteropneusta; Harrimaniidae
Gene: Mir31
Product: microRNA mir-31
Source: RefSeq, marked provisional
AAAAUUCGCAAAUUUAGUGGAGGCAAGAUGUUGGCAUAGCUGUUUCGAUUGAACAGUCAGCUGUGUCCUCAUAUUGCCCUUUCUUUGUUUGUCACCGUCAC